UUAAGCUAAUAAGAGCGCAGGGAGGAUGCCUUGGCAUCAGGAGCCGAAGAAGGACGUGGUAAGCUGCGAAAAGCUACGGGGAUUGGCAAGCACGAUAUGAUCCGUAGAUAUCCGAAUGGAGCAAUCCACAUGGAGUCAAGUCCAUGUAUCAUAUACUGAAUAAAUAGGUAUAUGAGGGGAACCGCCCGAACUGAAACAUCUAAGUAGGGCGAGGAAAAGAAAUCAACCGAGAUUCUGUGAGUAGUGGCGAGCGAAAGCGGAAGAGGCUAAACCGAGAGGAGCAAUCCUUUCGGGGUUUAGGACUGCAUUUAGUACAAUGAUUGUUAACCGAACAGCAUGGGAAGGCUGAUCAAAGAAGGUGAGAAUCCUGUAGGUGAAAACGAAAGUUGACGAGCAGUAUCCAAAGUACCGCGGGGCACGUGAAAUCCCGUGGGAAGAUGGGGGGACCAUCCUCCAAGCCUAAAUACUACCUGAUGACCGAUAGCGAAUAGUACUGUGAAGGAAAGGUGAAAAGCACCCCGGGAGGGGAGUGAAAGAGAACCUGAAACCCUGUGCUUACAAGCACUUAGAGCACGUCAAAGUGUGAUAAGGUACCUAUUGUAGAAUGGUCCGGCGAGUUAUUGUAUGCAGCGAGGUUAAGUAGUUCAGCUACGGAGCCGAAGUGAGAGCGAGUGUUAACAGCACGUUCAGUUGCAUGCAAUAGACCCGAAACCGGGUGACCUAUCCAUGUCCAGGAUGAAGUGAGGGUAAAACCUCAUGGAGGUCCGAACCCACUCCCGUUGAAAUGGUAGGGGAUGAGGUGUGGAUAGCGGAGAAAUUCCAAUCGAACCCGGAUAUAGCUGGUUCUCCCCGAAAUAGUUUUAGGACUAGCCUCGUGAUUAAGAUUAUCGGAGGUAAAGCACUGAAUGGCCUAGGGGUCGAGAGAUUACCGAAGCCUAUCAAACUCUGAAUGCCGAAUAAUCAUGCACGGGAGUCAGACUGUGUGAGAUAAGUUUCAUAGUCGAAAGGGAAACAGCCCAGACCUACAGCUAAGGUCCCAAAGUACGUUUAAGUGGAAAACGAUGUGAAAUUGCGUAGACAACCAGGAUGUUGGCUUAGAAGCAGCCAUACAUUAAAAGAGUGCGUAAUAGCUCACUGGUCGAGUGACUUUGCGCGGAAAAUUUAACGGGGCUAAAACGUACACCGAAGCUUAGGCUUGCAACAAUGUUGCAGGGGUAGGGGAGCGUUGAAUGAGGGGUGAAGUCGUAGCGAAAGCGACGGUGGACUUCAUUCAAGUGAGAAUGCCGGAAUGAGUAGCGAGAAUUAUGUGAGAAUCAUAAUGGCCGAAAGCCUAAGGUUUUUGGAGGAAGGUUCGUCCGCUCCAAGUAAGUCGGAAGCUAAGGUGAGGCUGAAAAGCGUAGCCGAUGCACAAACGGUUGAAAUUCCGUUACCACAGAAAGAUUUAAACUAAGGGACACUUUUGAAGAGCUGAUGCCGGGUGUUGGUUACCCCGGUCGUAAGGGAACGAAAUUAAGUAGUGAAGUCAGCGUGGAUGAAGGCGAGAAAAGCUUAGUGUAUAUCUUAUGUGUCCGUACCGCAAACCGACACAGGUAGGUAGGAAGAGAAUUCUAAGGCCAACGGGAGAAGGGUAGUUAAGGAACUCGGCAAAAUGUCCCCGUAACUUCGGAAUAAGGGGAGGUUUCUACGGAAACCCGCAGAGAAUAGUCCCAGGCAACUGUUUAUCAAAAACACAGCUCUAUGCUAAAUCGAAAGAUGACGUAUAUGGGGUGACGCCUGCCCGGUGCCGGAAGGUUAAGAGGAGGAGUGAGAGCCCUGAAUCGAAGCCCCGGUAAACGGCGGCCGUAACUAUAACGGUCCUAAGGUAGCGAAAUUCCUUGUCAGGUAAGUUCUGACCCGCACGAAUGGCGUAAUGAUCUGGGAGCUGUCUCAACUGCCCGCCCGGCGAAAUUGUAGUACCGGUGAAGAUGCCGGUUACCCGCGACUAGACGGAAAGACCCCAUGGAGCUUUACUGUAGCUUAAUAUUGGAUUUCGGCAUUUCAUGUACAGGAUAGGUGGGAGACUAGGAAACAUAGGCGUCAGCUUAUGCGGAGUCGUCCUUGGGAUACCACUCUUGGAGUGCUGAAAUUCUAACCUGCAGCCCUGAAUCGGGUUGGGGGACAUUGUUAGGUGGGCAGUUUGACUGGGGCGGUCGC
RNAcentral lists this ribosomal RNA (2193 nucleotides) under human gut metagenome. RNAcentral's name for it is "bacterial LSU rRNA". It matches the Rfam family "Bacterial large subunit ribosomal RNA", at positions 3 to 2286 of the family's 2925-position model. The record is from RNAcentral.